This 397-nucleotide ribosomal RNA is filed under the name uncultured Pseudomonas sp. RNAcentral's name for it is "bacterial SSU rRNA". It matches the Rfam family "Bacterial small subunit ribosomal RNA", at positions 987 to 1382 of the family's 1533-position model. Lineage: Bacteria; Pseudomonadati; Pseudomonadota; Gammaproteobacteria; Pseudomonadales; Pseudomonadaceae. The record is from RNAcentral.
UGCAGAGAACUUUCCAGAGAUGGAUUGGUGCCUUCGGGAACGUCUGACACAGGUGCUGCAUGGCUGUCGUCAGCUCGUGCCGUGAGAUGUUGGGUUAAGUCCCGUAACGAGCGCAACCCUUGUCCUUAGUUACCAGCACGUUAUGGUGGGCACUCUAAGGAGACUGCCGGUGACAAACCGGAGGAAGGUGGGGAUGACGUCAAGUCAUCAUGGCCCUUACGGCCUGGGCUACACACGUGCUACAAUGGUCGGUACAAAGGGUUGCCAAGCCGCGAGGUGGAGCUAAUCCCAUAAAACCGAUCAUAGUCCGGAUCGCAGUCUGCAACUCGACUGCGUGAAGUCGGAAUCGCUAGUAAUCGUGAAUCAGAAUGUCACGGUGAAUACGUUCCCGGGCCUU